Molecule: long non-coding RNA, 1574 nt
Filed under: Sorghum bicolor (sorghum)
Lineage: Eukaryota; Viridiplantae; Streptophyta; Magnoliopsida; Poales; Poaceae
Description: long non-coding RNA (SBIC_LNC017743)
Source: RNAcentral
GCCGGGCUUCCUCCAAUCUACACCUCCACUCUAUCUCUCUCAAUCUAGUAGAAACUAGAAGAUCUAUAUCUACCUUACAUUGGUUGCUAAGCCUAAAAAGAAAUAUUAAUUAGAGAAGAGGUUUUCCUUCGAGGGCACCUCAGUCUCUAUGAUAAUUUCUUCAUGUCUUUUCCAGGGGCCAGGGGGGCCUUGCUUAUAUAGUCCUCCCCUUCUAUGUGUUUUUGGGUCGAUAGGCGAGGUGGUACUAUGUUUUUCUUGAUCCAAUAGGUCGGUGGAAUAUCCCGAGCGAAAAGAGCCCUGAUCUGGCUCCAGAGGGGGGGCGGGCGCCCAGGCUACCAGGGCGGGCGCCCUGGGCCUGGCCCAGUUUCGCCUCCGCUUCGGUCUCGUGGCUUCUGGAGUCUUCUAGAUGAUGUAAAAUCGUGCGGUGCGUUGAUAUCUCUAUGUAAUCCCGACAUGUGGGCCUUUCUUCCUUAUUUCCUGAUAACCCCCUCCAGAAACAGAUAAACAACAAAACUCGUGGAAUUCUGUCAGAUCAAACCCUAAUUCUAGGAGUUGGUUGCAUAUUGGUCCUUUCUCUUGUUUAUUUGAUAAUUAAAAUUGAUACUUAAGAACCGUCAACAAAUACCCCCAUACUUAGGCUUUUACUCGUCCUCGAGAAAAGGAUGGUUAAGAAAAAUAUCUAGGGUAAACAUUUUAAAACAUUCUCUAUAUAAUUGCAGGGUGUUAAAAAUCCACUGUGUACCAUAGUCGGGGAUGUAUAUGGUUAAGAGUAAAGAUCCUUUCUUCUCAAUCCUGCCACUUGGAGUUUUUGUAUAUUUUUGAAAGAAAGUUAGCAUACCUUUUUAUCCUCAUAGGUUCUCUCAGAUCACUCAUUAUUUUUUAUAUAUCUUACUGAGGUUGUUUUAUUUUGCAAAAAUUCUCAAGCAUUCUUACUUUGCAUUUAUUGCUUGAUCAAAACGGGAUCCGAGGAGGGGAAUGUCAUACUCUUAGAUCAAAGACUUUGAAAAUUAAAAACUUUGUCAACUCUUGCUGGCAUAUUGCUUAUUAGAGGGACCAUGGGCUAUCAUUUUUUUCUCUUUUCUUUUCUCUUUUUUUAAGUGGAUACCGAAGUAUCCCUAAUUCUACUGCUGGACACUUGUCCAUUUUUUCUGCGAGGUUGUCGAGCACUUGCUCCUUUUUAUUUUCCUCGAAAUAUAUAUAUAUAUAUAUAUAUAUAUAUAUAUUAUUUUUGCAUAGCCCAUGCCUCUAAUGCAAUAAUACUUCGGAAGAGUGAAUCUUUCUGAAAUAAUGUCUUGAUCUUAGGAGCAUGAUAAAUCUCUCAACAAGGGUCUAACUCAUUCUGAACAAACUCAAUACAGAGAAGAUAGCUUUUAUAAUCAUAAUUAAUAUUUUCAGUUUUAUCAGGCAUAUAAAACACUGAGGAUGGUAGCUAUAAUUUUGAAUAUUUUGAAAUAAAUUCUCCAAGCAACAAAGAUAUCAAGAAUAAGAAACUCAUACUCUACCAUCACAUAUUCCAUAUUGACUUAAGUGACACAGGGUUUUAAAAUGAUUUUCAAUAAUUGCAAGUUUUCAGG